RNAcentral lists this ribosomal RNA (511 nucleotides) under uncultured bacterium. RNAcentral describes it as "partial 16S ribosomal RNA". It matches the Rfam family "Bacterial small subunit ribosomal RNA", at positions 355 to 883 of the family's 1533-position model. The record is from RNAcentral.
UAGGGAAUCUUGCGCAAUGGGCGAAAGCCUGACGCAGCCAUGCCGCGUGGAUGAUGAAGGUCUUAGGAUUGUAAAAUUCUUUCACCGGGGAAGAUAAUGACGGUACCCGGAGAAGAAGCCCCGGCUAACUUCGUGCCAGCAGCCGCGGUAAUACGAAGGGGGCUAGCGUUGCUCGGAAUUACUGGGCGUAAAGGGCGCGUAGGCGGAUGUUUAAGUCGGGGGUGAAAGCCCGGGGGCUCAACCUCGGAAUUGCCUUCGAUACUGGACAUCUUGAGUACGGGAGAGGUGAGUGGAACUCCGAGUGUAGAGGUGAAAUUCGUAGAUAUUCGGAAGAACACCAGUGGCGAAGGCGACUCACUGGCCCGUUACUGACGCUGAGGCGCGAAAGCGUGGGGAGCAAACAGGAUUAGAUACCCUGGUAGUCCACGCCGUAAACGAUGAGUGCUAGUUGUCGGCAUGCAUGCAUGUCGGUGACGCAGCUAACGCAUUAAGCACUCCGCCUGGGGAGUAC